RNAcentral lists this ribosomal RNA (431 nucleotides) under uncultured bacterium. Its description in RNAcentral is "bacterial SSU rRNA". It matches the Rfam family "Bacterial small subunit ribosomal RNA", at positions 340 to 786 of the family's 1533-position model. The record is from RNAcentral.
UACGGGAGGCAGCAGUGGGGAAUCUUGCGCAAUGGGCGAAAGCCUGACGCAGCCAUGCCGCGUGAAUGAUGAAGGUCUUAGGAUUGUAAAAUUCUUUCACCGGGGACGAUAAUGACGGUACCCGGAGAAGAAGCCCCGGCUAACUUCGUGCCAGCAGCCGCGGUAAUACGAAGGGGGCUAGCGUUGCUCGGAAUUACUGGGCGUAAAGGGCGCGUAGGCGGAUCGUUAAGUCAGAGGUGAAAUCCCAGGGCUCAACCCUGGAACUGCCUUUGAUACUGGCGAUCUUGAGUAUGAGAGAGGUAUGUGGAACUCCGAGUGUAGAGGUGAAAUUCGUAGAUAUUCGGAAGAACACCAGUGGCGAAGGCGACAUACUGGCUCAUUACUGACGCUGAGGGCGCGAAAGCGUGGGGAGCAAACAGGGAUUAGAUACC